Long non-coding RNA from Aethalodelphis obliquidens (Pacific white-sided dolphin), 4971 nucleotides. RefSeq lists it as uncharacterized. The record is from RefSeq and is a predicted model, not a curated record. The transcript has 3 exons. NCBI's taxonomy places the organism in Eukaryota, Metazoa, Chordata, Mammalia, Artiodactyla, Delphinidae.
UGCCAGGUUCACUCCUUCCCUUCGGAGCCAAGACCCUGGGACAAGCUGGGCCUUUUGCUGUCCCCUUAGUACACUGCGUCCUAGCCUCUGUCCCCUCCACUCUCUACACACCUCUCUGGCCAGGGUCUCCAGGCACCUCCCUGCUGCUAAAUUCAACGGACACCUUUUGGGCCUUAUCUUCCUCCGUCUCAGCCCAGCGCCUGACGCUACUGACGACCCCAUCCGGCGGCAUCUGCUUUGGCAGGCAGGAUGCCACUUGCUGUGAUUGUCCUCCCUUCUCUGCUGCUGCCCUUCUCCUCCCAGGCUCCUCCUCUCCAGCCCUGGAAGGUGAGUGCUCCCAGCAUUCCAUCCUCUUCUCAUUUUCUGCCCACUUUCCCUCAGGGACCUCACCUAAACUCACACCUCUGACUACCACCCACAAGGCAGACAGCACCUCUCAGUUCCUGCCCAGACCUGUCUGCACAGCCCGGGCCUGCAGGUCCACCCUGAGCUGGCCCGUGGCACCUCAGACAAGCGCCCCAAACUGACCAGACCUCUUCCGCUACCCCUGCGCCCCGUGCUGCAUUCCCUGGGCACCUGAGCUGAGGAUGAGCCUGCCUCCUUCCUUCCUCUGCCUCACCCUCAGGCACCUGCCAGCUCUCCUCCUUACAGCUCUCGGAUGCCCCCACCCACUCCCCGCCAGCCAUCACAGGCCCUCCUGAACUGGCUUCAUCACCUCUUGCCUGGAUCACUGCAGCCGCCUCCUAGCUGGUUUCCCAUGCUUGCUUCUCCUGCCGGAUCAUCUAGUCCUCGCGCUGCCGCCAGAAAGACAUUUCCAAAAGGCACAUCGGACGGUGUCCCUCUGCUCACACAUCCUUCAGUGGCCCUGCGUGAUUAAUGCCAAGACCCUCAGCUUCGCUCACGAGGUCCUGCUUGCUGGCCCUGCCUCACCUCUCCCCACAUUCCAGACCAACCAAGCUAAGUCUUCGUCCUUCUCUGGCAGAAACUUACCCUCCUGCCCCCUAGCCCCUUUCUCCCCUCUCUCUCCUUCCCUCACAGGCCCCACUUUCUGGAAGGGGUCUUCCCCAGUGAUCCAGAUCUGUGCUCCUGGGGCCCCGUGGUCACAGCACCUAGCCAUCCCCUCCCCCUCCCAGCACUGAGCGUGUGUAUGUGUGUGUGUUGGGGGGCGGGUGUCAGUGAUGGGCGGGGCCUGAGCCAAACACGAACAAGGGUAGGAACAAGUAACCAACAUGCACUGGGAGCCGACCAGACUGGGUUGUGCUGACACUGACACGAACUAUCUGUUUUAAUUCUUCCAACAACCUGGUGAGGGGUGUUCCCAUCGACAGGGAGGGCACUGAGGCCCUGAGACAUCAAGCAACUUGCCCAAAGCUAACAGCAGAGCCAGGAGUGGAACCCAGAUGUCAACGGAUCAAUGGUUGUGGGGUGAACCCAAGUCUUCAGUGAAGCGUGGACCUUUGAUAAGUGUAGAAGGAGAAGCAGGGGGCGAGAGGAGGACGAAGGCGAGGGGAGCAAGACGGUGGAGCGGAAGCGGCAGCCUGGCUGUGUGCCCUCCCAUGGCCUGGGCUCCAGGCCCCUCUGGCAACCUCUGCUGUCUGGAGGGAACAGGAACCCUGCUGCAGUCACUUCGCCUCCGUGGGGAGGAGAGAGAUCCCUGGGAAGAAACCACUGGCAGGUGCGACAGGAGAUGAAGGGAUAAGGAGGCCGCAGGCUCUGACUCAGCUGGUUCCCAGGGAAAAGGGCUUGACCUGGCCCAUGCGGGAUUAAGAAAAGGAGGCACAGGCUCUCGGAGGCCCUCCCCACCCUGGCCCCUGCCCCCGCCACCUGCUGACCCCUUCUGCCCCUAUUGGGGAAGGGUGGGUUGAGGACGGUAGGAGCGGGUUAAGGCAUCCUACCUCCCCCUGCCCCAGUUGUGGUACUCAGUCACCGAGGAGACAUGAAGGCCCUUCUGGGGCAGGAAGCAGCCUGGAGCCUGAGAAGGCACCUCAGGGCAGAUGGAUUGGUCAGUAUUUUAAGCCCAGGUGAGAUGGAGGACCUCACAGCAGCUCCUCCUCUGGCCCCCCUGCUCCCUGGGAAGCUCAGCCGCCGUUCUCUCCCCCUCCCCUAAAAUGAUCCUAAUUCCAGAAGCCUCCCUCUCCAAGUCCCUGGGUCCCCCUGCCCCACUGGAGUGGGCCUGUGGGCAACUUCCCGAGUCAAGAAUCAGUUGCCUACAGCUCCAGGCAAACGGGGGUGGGGGUGGGGAUUUGUAGGAGGUGGUCACGUGACCGUCUGGGCGGAGACCCAGGGGCUCAGAGUUAAUUCCUCCGUGUUCACAUGGCCCAGCAUUCCAGAGCUGCCUGUCCCCGGGUGCUGGCCGCCAGCGUUGCCCCCGGCACCCUCAGCAACCCAAACCUGUUCUCAGAGGCAGCUGGACCUCCUCAAGCUGUGGUUUCUGAACCACUGCCCAUGGCUCUGGAUUUCACAUGCUGGCUCCUCCUUGCAACAAAACCCAGGCCUCCCUGGAAGGGUUUGCACUGGUGGAGAGUGAAGUGUUGGGGCGUGGGCCUGGGGAGCGUGUGAACGAUCUUCCCCUGUGAGAGAGGGAGUGAGGCCAAGCUGGGGGGGGGGGGGGGGGAAGUUACUCACUGUUCUGUGACUUGGUUGCCUUGUCUGUAAAAUGGGAGUAAUGACAGUACCUACUAUGGGUAUUUUCCUGUCAAAGGAGAAUAAUGGCAACGAGCAGCCUCCAAACCUUGCCAUAAUAAAGGAACAACAGUAUAUGACCAUGCCUAGCCCAGAGGGUCCAGAGGUUACGUUCAAUAACAUUUCUCCCUCGCUCUUUUCUUUUAGCCACAGUUUCCCAGUCUGUCACCUAAGAGACCUGAGGAAGCAGUUCUGCCAGCUUCACCAAGCUGCUGUGGGGGAUGGGAAAGGGAGAAGAAUGUGGCAGUAGGGGAAAGCGCUGGACACUGCAGGGAAUACCUGGUGUCCAUGGCCACUGCCCCAUCCCCAUCCUUUCCAGAGAACACCCCCCAGCCACAAUGGGGCUGGCUUAGGAAGCCCAACGCUAGCACCACAGCGAUGUAGGCAACAGAGAGCCAAGGGAGGUUUCUAAGCAAGGAGAUGACAUGUUCAGAUGUGUAAAAGAAUUGCCUGCUACAGAGCCCUGGCCUGGAAUGCGUGGAGACUGGAGCCCACGAGAGACCAGUUGGGAGGUUGCGACACUGCUCUCGAGUCUAGCCUGAAGUGCGGACCCACCAAUCAUGGGUCCACAAUGUGGUACCCACAGGAGGUCUCAUCGAGGCAGGUUUCCUUAGUGAAACCUAACUGGCCGCCUGUGCUGGAUGCUUCAUCAUUACAGCUCUGCCUCUCCUGCACCCAGCAACAAGAGGGAGCAAACUACAGUUCUCAGCUCUUCAUGACAGGCCCCUUUCCUACCUAUGUGCACUAAAUCGAGGAUCCCAUAAUCCUAAAAGUUCCUGAAAGUAAUAAAAGAGCGAUGAAGAGGCAGCGGAAGGCCAGCAGGAGCGGAUGCGCACGCAGAGGCAGGUGACGGGGCCAACUCCCACUUGGCUCCACCGGACGGUACUCAGCGGGUUCGCACCUGGACCGGUCAUCCACACGUCCAAGUCGGCGUGUGCAGCUCAAUGCUGUGGCUGCACCCGCCAUGCCUUCAUUCACUGGUGGUUUAAGUUACACCCGUGACGCUCUAUCCCUGUAUUCUCAGGCUGCUGAGCUUCACCCAUUUCAUGGGUGUGUGCGGUGGGCGUGGGGGUUGGGGGCACCUCAGAGGAUCUUCCAGGCGAAACACGCUUGGUUUUUAUUAAUGAGCUGAUGAGAAAAGCCAACCCAGACCCUUAAGUGAAAUGUGUGAUUGCUGGCCAGGCGAGAAUAGGCUUUAGGAUUAACUCUUCCUACAGUCUGCUGUGCAUUGUCACCCCCAAGUUAAUUACCCCUGAGGAUGAAAAUAGCUUCCGUGACUCAUAAGCACCAAUACAACACUUGGCAGCAGAUGAAAAUGCAAGGACACAUUUGCAGGAAGCUGACACGCACAUCUAUUUAUAUGUGGGAAGAUUCUUGAUGAGGUGAGACAGGUACCUCCCGGGUACCAGGAUUAAGAGGCUGCAGCAGAUACGCCAACUGCCAUUUAUUCACACCUCCAAACACACACACACACACACACACACGCACGCACACGCACACAAACACAGAGUCAUGGUUUCCACUACUUCAGUGAUGGUGGCGGCAAAGCAGGAACAGAAACUGAAAGCAUGUUGUUAACAGCAAGUCUGAACACCAACCCAACCUCCACCUCGGUGUUCUGGGCUAACCAGUGACUUGUUUUUCCCCAAACUCACCUGCUCCCUUAUUCGCUAUUCCUCUGGCCUUGUGCGGACAGUCCUGGCCCAGUUUGCCUCCACCAGGAAUGGGGUGUGGCCAGGAAUGGAUUUCUGAUAGGAUCUGGGGUUGUGUUUUGCUUCCUCCCUCCCCAUUUCCUACUCCCCUUCCAUUUGCCUCCCAGGAAAGUACAAGGUUCAAACCAGGUUUGUUUGCCUUCCCUCAGAGCUCUGGGAGGGCUCCAGAGCCCUAAAGGACAUUCCAGUCCCAUCCCCAUCCCUCUGUACCUCACAAAUGCCACCAAAAAGUCAACUAGAUGAAUAAUCGCAUUUCUUCACCAGUGGGGACGGGUUCUAUUUGGUGUCAUAAGCGAUUGUUCCUCCACGGUUUGGGACUCUCUCUUCCCCACUCUCCACAACCAGCUAAGUGUCCUGCCUUUUGAAAUGAUUAUCAAAAAGGAAGGGAAAGAAAAAAACGUCAUGAAUGAGGUGAAACUUCUCCUCCGAUGCAUGAACUGGAAGCUGCUGGGAACUCAGUCCUGAGAACAUGGAUUUGUUUCCCACUUCCCACACCCCUCCUGCCUCCACUGCUGGCUCCCAGCUCUGUGACAUGUUUGCUUUAAAUGUGCAAUAACAGUGAUUUUUGCCACAUCUA